AAUGGGGGAAACCCUGAUCUAGCCAUGCCGCGUGAGUGACGAAGGCCCUAGGGUCGUAAAGCUCUUUCAACUGUGAAGAUAAUGACGGUAGCAGUAGAAGAAACCCCGGCUAACUCCGUGCCAGCAGCCGCGGUAAUACGGAGGGGGUUAGCGUUGUUCGGAAUUACUGGGCGUAAAGCGCGCGUAGGCGGACUAUUAAGUCGAGGGUGAAAUCCCGGGGCUCAACCCCGGAACUGCCUUCGAUACUGGUAGUCUUGAGUUCGAGAGAGGUGAGUGGAAUUCCGAGUGUAGAGGUGAAAUUCGUAGAUAUUCGGAGGAACACCAGUGGCGAAGGCGGCUCACUGGCUCGAUACUGACGCUGAGGUGCGAAAGUGUGGGGAGCAAACAGGAUU
This 392-nucleotide ribosomal RNA is filed under the name uncultured Gammaproteobacteria bacterium. Its description in RNAcentral is "bacterial SSU rRNA". It matches the Rfam family "Bacterial small subunit ribosomal RNA", at positions 370 to 779 of the family's 1533-position model. Lineage: Bacteria; Pseudomonadati; Pseudomonadota; Gammaproteobacteria. The record is from RNAcentral.